Molecule: ribosomal RNA, 255 nt
Filed under: uncultured bacterium
Lineage: Bacteria
Description: partial 16S ribosomal RNA
Rfam family: Bacterial small subunit ribosomal RNA
Source: RNAcentral
UACGUAGGGUGCGAGCGUUAAUCGGAAUUACUGGGCGUAAAGCGUGCGCAGGCGGUCUGUUAAGACCGAUGUGAAAUCCCCGGGCUUAACCUGGGAACUGCAUUGGUGACUGGCAGGCUUUGAGUGGUGGCAGAGGGAGGUAGAAUUCCACGUGUAGCAGUGAAAUGCGUAGAGAUGUGGAGGAAUACCGAUGGCGAAGGCAGCCUCCUGGGCCAACACUGACGCUCAUGCACGAAAGCGUGGGGAGCAAACAGG